RNAcentral lists this ribosomal RNA (516 nucleotides) under uncultured bacterium. Its description in RNAcentral is "partial 16S ribosomal RNA". It matches the Rfam family "Bacterial small subunit ribosomal RNA", at positions 29 to 523 of the family's 1533-position model. The record is from RNAcentral.
AACGAACGCUGGCGGCGUGCCUAACACAUGCAAGUCGAACGUGAUUGGAAGCUUGCUUCCAUGAAAGUGGCGCACGGGUGAGUAACGCGUAGAUAAUCUACCUGAUGGAUCGGGAUAACACUUCGAAAGGGGUGCUAAUACCGGAUAAGCCCACGGAGUCCUUGGACACUGCGGGAAAAGGGGGGGAUCUUCGGACCUUCCGUCAUCAGAUGGGUCUGCGUACCAUUAGCUAGUUGGUAGGGUAAAGGCCUAACAAGGCGACGAUGGUUAGCUGGUCUGAGAGGAUGAUCAGCCACACUGGAACUGAGACACGGUCCAGACUCCUACGGGAGGCAGCAGUGGGGAAUUUUGCGCAAUGGGGGAAACCCUGACGCAGCAACGCCGCGUGAGUGAUGAAGGCCCUUGGGUCGUAAAGCUCUGACAGAGGGAAAGAAAUGCGGGGAGGCUAAUAUCCUUUCUGCUUGACGGUACCCUCAAAGGAAGCACCGGCUAACUCCGUGCCAGCCGCCGCGGUAA